CCAGUGCUGUACAUGUUCCCAUUGUCCAAACAGGGAUCAGAGGUCACGAAAGCGGGCUUCCGCACAUGAUUCACUUUAAAAUAUACUUCUUCGUUGAGAGACCUCAGAUUGAUAUGAUCAUCUGCUGUGGACCAAACAUUUAUCAUCUUAAUCGACAGCUUGUUGCAUGUGCACGAUUGUGCGCAUGAUCAGAAUGAUACUCACAUGCUUGCAUGGCCAGUGUGAAAUUCAAAAAGCAAACUCGUUAUCUUAAAAAAUUGGACUACCCACUCACCGCAAUCCUCAAAGGGCACCGUAGUUGCACUACUCAGAGGAACGAAUAAAAACAAAACAAAGACGUGGAGUCUCAUGCCGGAUGUCACUAUGGAGUCUCGCUAGCAAAUUUAAAGUGACGAACGAAAACUCCUACCAGAUGAAAUACGUUGUGACUUAUAUCAAGAAGGAUCAGUGGUUCUCAUGUAAUCUACUAAUCGAAUCGAUACACAGAGACGAUCAGCAAACACAUUUGAAAUUCACAUCUGUAUCGACCCAACUGGUAUCAUUGAAGAUCGACAAGCCUAACGAAUGGCGAUGACGAAUAUAUGAAAUCAGAAGUGAAAACUGAUAAUCGUCUGGUCGAUUCUAAUAAUAUUGUUGCCAUCGUGAUCAUCUAUACACACGCCAGUUAUCAAUUUCCAUCGAUAUAAUUAAUUGGACAAUUUAGCCGCCAUGGUUAUUAAUGAUUUUUAUCAAUUUGUAAUUUCAAUUUUUUAUAGAAUACGUAAACAGUCCUGAGUAUCGGAACAGGGGAGACAGGUGUCAGUUGAAUAAUUUACUCUACCAUAUAUUGGUAGUGAAUAAAUUAUAAUUGCCAGCUGUAGACUUGCUUCAAGAUAAAUCGACCAAAACUUCAUACAAAAAAUUCUGUAAGAGUCAUCGAUAAAUUAAAUAAUUCGUUUGUGCCUGGAUCGAACCGGUUCGCCCCAAAAUUUCAGGCUGCGAUUUCAUCAAGACGGUCUGUAAUUCAGAACAUCCAGAAGCAGUUCGAAACGAUACGUAAACAAAUUGCAUUUCUUCCUGAUGCCACAUACAGUAAUCAUCCUUAUAUAUCUACCAGUAACUCAUCCACAGUUCCUGUAUUCGACACGUGCAUGCUAAACACGUACAAAUGACAGCAGUAGUACCCUGUACAUAACAUAAAGUAUAUACAUAUAUAGCUACAGCCAAAAGCAGGAAGAACUUUCAGUGAUUGCCAUUGAGGCGAUGACGCGAUGACGCGACUUAUUCUGUAUCAAAUCGAAGCAAAUCGAAGCAAAUCGACAAACGUGCCUUGUAGCUCGAUAUUUCCGGAGGACUUUCAGUUCCGAAUGGGCAUCUAUUGCCGGCAAAAAUAUUAUGGAAUACUACCAGAGGAAAAAGAAGUGUCGUUCCUGUUUAUCUGCGCAGUUUGAAAGGAAAAAGUUCAGAUAUUCCUUACGAUAUCAUCAUUACGUUCUACAAUAUUUUCUACCUGGAAAUAAUUAUGAAUGUCUCGCACGUGCCUCCCAAUGACGCUAGUGACUCCGCCUGCUUCGGCGACCAUUGCCAAAGUUACCCAUUGCAGAUUUUUCACGGAGAAUUCCAACUGAAAAGUCGCCUUGAGGUUUUUCAGUACAGGAUUAGAAACACUUGAUAGCGGUGAGACGUCAUGUUUCAUACCUCCCGUAUACAACUCGCUUAUUAUUAUUCUUAUCAUUUCUGUCAUUCAUAUACAUACAGACCUGCAGUAUUUUCUUCCUUUCGGUUUGACAAAGUUUCCAUGAGAAAUGCCGUUGGCUACUAAACGAAAACUCUAGGAGAAUGUUUACGAUCGUGUUAAGAGGUCGUCGAACUAGGACGGGCGUAUCUACUUUUCGUCCGUGCAAUAUUGAUAUGCUUGAUGGAAAAGAUAUAAUCGGAAUCCGCAGAUACAGUAGUUGUACGGUAUAUAAAUAAAGUCUUUUUUACUAGAUACUAUAUACAUAUAUUUUUCGUGACCAUAAAUUUCGAGUUUUCUACUCGCUGGUAAUCUUGUAUCUCUGGGAUUUCUUGCUGUUCAGUUAUCCUUGUCUCUCUCUGCCAUUAGGCUACUUUGUAAAAGGCACGUGGAAAUUUCCAUCCGAUUCCUAAGCUUUUUACAGUGACACGCGGCAACGAUAAAUCAUGCUUAUUUCGUUUCUCGUGUGGUUCUAAUGAUUGUUUUUUGUACAUUGCGAGUACGCCUUUAGUCGCUGUAACGUCAUGUGACUUAUUGCUUGCACCAUUAGUCAUUUCCUUUCUGUUUAGUCCAUGUGUUAUUUCAUUCAAGGAACUCUAUCGCGAAUAUGGUAACAAUAUAGAGAAUAGAUCGUGUAGGUAAAAUCACAGUUUACUAAAUAAUAACUUUGACGUCUGUCAUUUGGACAUUUGUCAUUAUAAGCAACCCGUUGGUGUAUUCGUUGAAAAUUUAAUAGAAAUCCUUAACUAUUAUUUUCUUUGAAUGAUUAUCAAUUUCAAAUUCUAUUAUUUCUCUUCAGCUACAAUUUUCUCGUAAUCUUGACAACUACAGUGUCCCUUUCUAUUAUUACGGCUGGCGACUCCGUUAAUUAUCUCGAUAAUUACCACAGGACCCGUCAAGCGUCACGAUGCUGUUCCGUGAGACAAUUAGAGAGGACUAAUUAUACAUCCCCUAGAAUUCGAUGACUCGUAUGUUUUUGCUUUCACGCAACAGCAGCAACAAGUGUAUCGCGCGGUUGAGGUUUAUUAAAAAUUUUCACGGGAAAUGACUUUUCCGCAAAUGCUCCAUCUUUCCAGGGAAGCAUAAUCGAUGUCUAUAAAAAUCAUUGACAGACGUGGAGGCCCAUGAGUGAAAUAACCCGGAAUGACGUUAUUAUUCUUCUCAAUGGCGCCAAGAGAUUCGUGCUGGAAGGUACGUUCCACGUGUCCACCUGCGUCAUUAAAGACGUUGAAGUUCAAAGGGCAAUCGGUAGAUGGUCCUACAAGAACACGAGGACUAUUAUUAUGGUUACGGUGUAUUUUACGUCAUUAUUUCGUCAUUUAUGGUCAUUAUUAUGGUAUAGUGUAUGGAGAUUAUUAAAAAUUCUUUAAUUAAUUGUAUACAUACGUAUAUUUCAUAUUUACACACUUGAACGACCCAAGCAAAUAGGUAGUCAGAGGGCAAGAGCAAUGUUUUCUUGACUCUGGAUGACCAUGAAAACUAAAGAGACUCUG
Molecule: long non-coding RNA, 3207 nt
Organism: Cephus cinctus (wheat stem sawfly)
Lineage: Eukaryota; Metazoa; Arthropoda; Insecta; Hymenoptera; Cephidae
Exons: 4
Source: RefSeq, a predicted model, not a curated record